Molecule: ribosomal RNA, 529 nt
Filed under: Penicillium citrinum
Lineage: Eukaryota; Fungi; Ascomycota; Eurotiomycetes; Eurotiales; Aspergillaceae
Description: eukaryotic LSU rRNA
Rfam family: 5.8S ribosomal RNA (bases 145-298)
Source: RNAcentral
GGGCUUACGAGUGCGAGGACCUCGGGGCCACCUCCCACCCGUGUUGCCCGAACCUAUGUUGCCUCGGCGGGCCCCGCGCCCGCCGACGGCCCCCCUGAACGCUGUCUGAAGUUGCAGUCUGAGACCUAUAACGAAAUUAGUUAAAACUUUCAACAACGGAUCUCUUGGUUCCGGCAUCGAUGAAGAACGCAGCGAAAUGCGAUAACUAAUGUGAAUUGCAGAAUUCAGUGAAUCAUCGAGUCUUUGAACGCACAUUGCGCCCUCUGGUAUUCCGGAGGGCAUGCCUGUCCGAGCGUCAUUGCUGCCCUCAAGCCCGGCUUGUGUGUUGGGCCCCGUCCCCCCCGCCGGGGGGACGGGCCCGAAAGGCAGCGGCGGCACCGCGUCCGGUCCUCGAGCGUAUGGGGCUUCGUCACCCGCUCUAGUAGGCCCGGCCGGCGCCAGCCGACCCCCAACCUUUAAUUAUCUCAGGUUGACCUCGGAUCAGGUAGGGAUACCCGCUGAACUUAAGCAUAUCAAUAAGACGGAGGAA